GUCAGGUGACGUCCUACGUCCGCCCCUCCCAGCCUCACCGGGUCGGGGCCCAGCGCGCUCCCAACCGCCCCCGGGAGCCCCGGUUGACCGCAGCUUGGCUCCGCCUACUUCGCCUACCCCGAGUGGCGGCCGCGUGGGGGUUUCAGCCCAUGCCUUAACUGACAGAGGACUGAGCCAGGUGGCCGAGGAAGCGGGUACUGAAGGGACCGGGCCGGCAGGGUCACAGGGCCACGCCACACAACGAAUUCCAUGGACUCACACCAAGAGUAGUAAGAAGCAUACUGCAUUGCUCCUGGAGUUGGAGGAACUUGACUGGACUUUUUCCAUGUGCAACUGUAAAGAAAUCAGGCUACCAUGCACUGUGCUGCUUGGUGCUUGCAGAUGA
RNAcentral lists this long non-coding RNA (385 nucleotides) under Canis lupus familiaris (dog). Its description in RNAcentral is "lncRNA (ENSCAFG00845027107.1)". The record is from RNAcentral. Lineage: Eukaryota; Metazoa; Chordata; Mammalia; Carnivora; Canidae.